Molecule: non-coding RNA, 193 nt
Organism: Triticum urartu
Lineage: Eukaryota; Viridiplantae; Streptophyta; Magnoliopsida; Poales; Poaceae
Source: Rfam
GACAGGAAGAGGAAAAAGGAGGGCCUAAGAGCGGUGGGCAUGGGACAUGAUGGAAAGCUAAAGACCUCAGUUCCUCGUCUAACACUGUAAGAUGUUUUCUGUCAAAAAAAAAACACUAAGAUGCUUUGUUUUGAGUUUCCUGAUGCCUCUCAUGCCUAUUGUUCUUUGGUGUUCCUUCCUCUUCCUUCUAGUU